GAACAGACUUCCCGCUGCCGAUGUGGGUUACAUGGUGAUGACCACAGUCAAGAAAAGGCAAACCAGAGCUCAGAAAAAAGCACUCGAGUAUUAGUUAAGAAACAAUCUAGUCUGCUAUAAUAAGAAACCCACAAUGCAAUGACUUAAAUAAGGAAGAAAUUCAUAUCAUUCUCAUGGAACAAUCUGAGGAGCCCUGAAUGUCAAGAAGCUCAGCUAUGCUGGGACUGAGGCUCCUUCCUUCUCAAUAUCUGAAAUUCUGAAGGCAAUACUCUUGUCCUAAAGGUAAUGUGUACGGUGAAGUUAACCUCAAUGUGAUGUACCAAGGGCAUGUGAAAUCACAAGGAGAAAGUGCAGUAUUUACUGUGUGAGCAGCUAUUCCAGUCAAUGCCAUUCACAGCAUCCAAAGACAACAGAGGUGCUGGAUCACUGCCAGGCCCCAGGCAUUGAAGUCUUGCUUGCUGCAAUUCUCUUUGGCUAAGUUAGGCACAUACUAAAAUGGAUACAAGGAUCCCACAGCAAUUGCCUUGUAAGACACUUAAAGGCAACCGAUCACAAGGUGGACAAGGGAAAGCUUUCAAGAACCCUGAAAUUGAAUUUGGAGUCACUAAUACAGCUGGGGAAUGAUAGCGUGGAAUGUCUCAAGGUCGCUUGCAACAGAGAAAGGGGGCCUUAUUUCAAAGAAAUUGCCCUGUCUGCCAAGAUAAAAAUGAGACACACACAGCAAAGAGAAAAGAGCAGCUGCUACAGAGCACUACCAAGGGAGAGACUGCAAAACAAAUCAUCAGUGGGAAAGAGAAUGAGGAACACCAUGAAUUUCUUCCAUCACUGGACAAGAAGCGCUCUCUCCUCUAAUUCAUAGGAUAAAACGAAGGCUGGCUCCAAAUGGCCAUUUAAACCCAGCAGGGCCCUUUGCAAGAAUGGGAAAGAGAGGAGAUAACAUGAUUUUCUCCACUGUGUCAAGAUGCAAUGGCUACGUACACCUCCUGCAGCCGAAUCAUAAAGGAGGGAGUGUGCUUGCGACCACUUGGACCACAUGGUUCCCGCUGUCAGAAGGUACCCCCCAGAGACAUCAUUUUCCACUGCCUAUGGAUCAGACAUCCAGCAGAUUCCAGGAAGCACAAUGUUAAUAGACUGAAAUUGUCUUUGCUUCUAGAGGCAAAAGCGGUGACAGACAGGGCAAAGAUUUUCUCCUGUGCUUUCUUCUAGAACUUUUAUAGUUUUAGGUUUCACAUUGUGUAUGAUCCCCUUUAAUUUU
This is a long non-coding RNA of Cercocebus atys (sooty mangabey), 1255 nucleotides long. RefSeq lists it as uncharacterized. The transcript is spliced from 4 exons. Lineage: Eukaryota; Metazoa; Chordata; Mammalia; Primates; Cercopithecidae. The record is from RefSeq and is a predicted model, not a curated record.